Molecule: ribosomal RNA, 498 nt
Filed under: uncultured bacterium
Lineage: Bacteria
Description: partial 16S ribosomal RNA
Rfam family: Bacterial small subunit ribosomal RNA
Source: RNAcentral
GGAUGAACGCUGGCGGCGUGCCUACUACAUGCAAGUCGAGCGAACAGACGAGGAGCUUGCUCCUCUGACGUUAGCGGCGGACGGGUGAGUAACACGUGGAUAACCUACCUAUAAGACUGGGAUAACUUCGGGAAACCGGAGCUAAUACCGGAUAAUCUAUUGAACCGCAUGGUUCAAUAGUGAAAGACGGUUUUGCUGUCACUUAUAGAUGGAUCCGCGCCGCAUUAGCUAGUUGGUAAGGUAACGGCUUACCAAGGCAACGAUGCGUAGCCGACCUGAGAGGGUGAUCGGCCACACUGGAACUGAGACACGGUCCAGACUCCUACGGGAGGCAGCAGUAGGGAAUCUUCCGCAAUGGGCGAAAGCCUGACGGAGCAACGCCGCGUGAGUGAUGAAGGUCUUCGGAUCGUAAAACUCUGUUAUUAGGGAAGAACAAAUGUGUAAGUAACUAUGCACGUCUUGACGGUACCUAAUCAGAAAGCCACGGCUAACUACGUG